CGACCAGACUCCUACGGGAGGCAGCAGUGGGGAAUAUUGCACAAUGGGGGAAACCCUGAUGCAGCGACGCCGCGUGAGCGAUGAAGUAUUUCGGUAUGUAAAGCUCUAUCAGCAGGGAAGAAAAUGACGGUACCUGACUAAGAAGCCCCGGCUAACUACGUGCCAGCAGCCGCGGUAACACGUAGGGGGCAAGCGUUAUCCGGAUUUACUGGGUGUAAAGGGAGCGUAGACGGUCCCGCAAGCCAGAUGUGAAAGCCCGGGGCUCAACCCCGGGACUGCAUUUGGAACUGUAAGGCUAGAGUGUCGGAGAGGCAGGCGGAAUUCCUAGUGUAGCGGUGAAAUGCGUAGAUAUUAGGAGGAACACCAGUGGCGAAGGCGGCCUGCUGGACUGCAACUGACGUUGAGGCUCGAAGGCGUGGGGAGCAAACAGGAUUAGAUACCCUAGUA
Molecule: ribosomal RNA, 447 nt
Filed under: uncultured bacterium
Lineage: Bacteria
Description: bacterial SSU rRNA
Rfam family: Bacterial small subunit ribosomal RNA
Source: RNAcentral